This 492-nucleotide ribosomal RNA is filed under the name uncultured bacterium. RNAcentral describes it as "partial 16S ribosomal RNA". It matches the Rfam family "Bacterial small subunit ribosomal RNA", at positions 29 to 507 of the family's 1533-position model. The record is from RNAcentral.
AGUGAACGCUGGCGGUAGGCCUAACACAUGCAAGUCGAACGGCAGCACAGUAAGAGCUUGCUCUUACGGGUGGCGAGUGGCGGACGGGUGAGGAAUACAUCGGCAUCUACUUUUUCGUGGGGGAUAACGUAGGGAAACUUACGCUAAUACCGCAUACGACCUACGGGUGAAAUCAGGGGAUCUUCGGACCUUGCGCGAUUGAAUGAGCCGAUGUCGGAUUAGCUAGUUGGCGGGGUAAAGGCCCACCAAGGCGACGAUCCGUAGCUGGUCUGAGAGGAUGAUCAGCCACACUGGAACUGAGACACGGUCCAGACUCCUACGGGAGGCAGCAGUGGGGAAUAUUGGACAAUGGGCGCAAGCCUGAUCCAGCCAUACCGCGUGGGUGAAGAAGGCCUUCGGGUUGUAAAGCCCUUUUGUUGGGAAAGAAAAGCAGCAGGUUAAUACCCCGCUGUUCUGACGGUACCCAAAGAAUAAGCACCGGCUAACUUCGUG